Long non-coding RNA from Orcinus orca (killer whale), 916 nucleotides. RefSeq lists it as uncharacterized. The record is from RefSeq and is a predicted model, not a curated record. Lineage: Eukaryota; Metazoa; Chordata; Mammalia; Artiodactyla; Delphinidae. The transcript has 3 exons.
AAGAAAUCAUAUUUUUAACUGUAAUAUAUUAAACUAUACAUUUCUAUAUGCUGUUAACUAUUUUUAGUUCUCUUUCUCAGCACCUGAAAGAUGACGUGGAGUUUCCUAACAGGAGAAGGACUUGGACUCAAUGUUUAGGAGAGAAAGAUGAAAACAUCAGGAUUGCUGUCCUCAAGGAUCAAAGAGACCCACAGAAAACUAGAGAUGAGACCUCUCCACAAAAAACUAUCCUAAUCCAAUGAGCCAUGCUAUGCUUUGGAUCAUGAAUGCCACAUUUCUGUUGGACCUUGAAAUCAUCUGCCAUCGCAUAUCUGACAAUCUAAAAGAACACAUCAGAUUGUCAGAAGAAACUGAAUGGACAGCACAUUUUCUUUUUUUUAGGACAGACUGAGAUGAAAACCAUUAUGAAGUUUUUGCAGACUUGCCAGGAAUGUAUGUGGGAAGAAGGAGUAAGGGAACAUGGAGAGAUAUACAGAUCUCUCCCCUUCCCCAAAAUACCAACCACAAUUGCACCAGACCUGGGGAGAGAUUGAGAGAAGAAAAGAAGGAAGGGGAAAAGGAGAAUAAAGUGGGAAAGGCACAUGGGAGGAGCCCUCUGUCCUGCAAAAAUUUAUAGCUACUGAAAUGAAAGAGCAAGAGGAACAUCCCACCCUCUCUUUCCCACCCUUCUUCCUCCCCCACCCCUCAUAAGUAUUGAGUUUAGCAAGAUAAGCUACUCAGAGAGAAAUAAACUAUGACGUUACUGAACUUCUUUGUCUUUUCCGUGGAACAUUUCCCAGCUAAAUCCCUCCAAGAGAGCAUGGAAGUGGGGAUGUGCACAGGGUGUGGCAACGAUUACAUAAUUCAGCUUCUCAAAACAAAGCAAAUCUUCACAGGCACAGACAUGCAGGUAUGUUAAAAACAAAAAAAAAGGAAA